GGGCUCGUAGUGAAAUGGUAUCACGUGUCUAUGGCAUAGACAGAGUAGGGGUUCGAUUCCCCUCGAGUCCA
This 71-nucleotide transfer RNA is filed under the name Candidatus Pacebacteria bacterium RIFOXYB1_FULL_44_10. RNAcentral's name for it is "tRNA-Ala". It matches the Rfam family "tRNA". From Rfam's summary of the family: Transfer RNA (tRNA) molecules are approximately 80 nucleotides in length. Their secondary structure includes four short double-helical elements and three loops (D, anti-codon, and T loops). Further hydrogen bonds mediate the characteristic L-shaped molecular structure. tRNAs have two regions of fundamental functional importance: the anti-codon, which is responsible for specific mRNA codon recognition, and the 3' end, to which the tRNAs corresponding amino acid is attached (by aminoacyl-tRNA synthetases). tRNAs cope with the degeneracy of the genetic code in two manners: having more than one tRNA (with a specific anti-codon) for a particular amino acid; and 'wobble' base-pairing, i.e. permitting non-standard base-pairing at the 3rd anti-codon position. The record is from RNAcentral. Lineage: Bacteria; Bacillati; Minisyncoccota. RNAcentral also lists the same sequence under 1 other name.